Long non-coding RNA from Equus caballus (horse), 2192 nucleotides. The record is from Ensembl. Lineage: Eukaryota; Metazoa; Chordata; Mammalia; Perissodactyla; Equidae.
GGCGUCCGCUAGGGCGCGCUGCGAGACCGGGAAUGCCCGCCCGGCGCCCCGCCGCCCCGGCCGCGCGCACACGCCGUGCCCUCGCCCCCCUCGAAAUCAUAUUUACAGUUCUUUUUUUUCCCCCCUCUCCUGUGACAUUUUCUCCAAAUCGGAAAAUGAAGUGUAAGUCGAGCUUUGCCGCAGGCGGCCCUCGGUCUCCGCUUUCCGGCUCGGGGUCCCGGAGUGAGAUGCGCUGCCCCCGGCAGUGCGAACCCCGGGGGACGGAGUGGGGCCCCCAGCCCAGCACCCCGGGCCCGGCCGCUCCGCCAGCGGAGACCGCGGAGUCCGGCUCUGCGCCGCGCGCGGGUGCGCUCCGGACGCGGCGAGUCGCAGGCCUCGCCGCGGGUUCAAGUGCAUCCCCGCGGCUGGAGCCCGCGGCUCUGAGAGCGAGUUCUGCCCUGCUCAGCCCCCUCUGGGAGUUCUGUGCGCCCGCGGCUCCCGGGCCCCUCUCCCCGACCCCGCAGCGCGCUGGGCCGCCGGCUGGGGGCAGGCACCCGGCUCGCGCUCCUCCUGGCCCGGGCCGGGCCCCCGGCGCGGCGCUGCCCCCGGGCCGAGCAGGAGGCUCCGCCUGGAAAAGAAGUCAGACUUCCUCUCCACGCUGCUCCGACUGGAAUCUGGAAUCGGCAGGAAAUUGCUCCAACACCCGGGCCGCGCCUUUGCAGUCAGCCCUCGCUUUGCUGAAGAGAAGCAGCUCCCACCAAAGUCUUGCCUCCCCCUCCCCCCGAAAGCCCCGCGCAGAUCGCAGUUCACCUGUCCUUCAGAAAAAAUAUUUUCAUAACUAUUAAAAACAGCAUCACGACUAGUAUUUUUAACUGUCUUCAGGUAGAUAUAUGAUUGCUCUACCCAUCUGGGACAGUGCUUCCAGUCUCCUGUGCAUCUAGCUGGGGUCAUGUGACGAGUUUUCACCACUGGAAAACGAGCAGAAGGAGCAUUUCUAAGAAGUGAAUGUGCCAUCUCCACUAUCUCUGAGGGCAGGAAAUGAUUCUGAAGACAUAGGGCAAGGCCAAGCCUCAAGUUAGAAACCUGAAUCCUUCAUCCCACAGCUUUCAAGCUCAACAUGCCCAUCCCUCCCCAGACCCAUUAAGUGGCAAAGAAGGGAAAUAUUUCUACUUUCUUCAUGGUCUUCGAAAGGAUGGACACACAGCCCUGAGGGAAAUCGCUGGCCAGAGGAAAGCAGUCCCCUAGAGAUAGCAAUCCAAAUAUCAUCAUAGAGCUGGGCCACAGCCAGCAUCUCCAUCAGCAACUUUGAAGAGUUGUCUGUCUUCCCAGCACAAUAAAACUGGAGACAUGAGCAUCCAGAGCUCCAGCCAGCACAAUUACAUGAAGCCAAAGCGCAUUAUCACUUCUAGGUUGCAGGAUUUAUGACCAGCUCCGAUGGAAAAUAAAGACAGAGAUACUCUACUUGUCUGAAUUCAUCACUCACAAAAGGCAGUAUGUUUUAAUCAUAGAGAAGUUGUCUAUAUUGUACUUUUUCUAACAAAAACCUUCACAAGCAGAGCAGAAACGGAUACCAGCAUCUUAAAGAAAAAAAGAAAAAUGCAAAAGAUUGCCAGUUUGAUUCUGUUCAGAAAAUAUGCCCUUGAUAUCCUUUAUUGUUGAAAAGCUCCUUUCAAAUGCAUUGAGGCAAGUGCUUCUAUUUUGGAGUUUCCCUGGGUUUGGGAAACUGCUUCUAACCUGAGUGGAACAGAGGGGUAGGUUUGUAGGUCUGUAUGGUGUAUCAGUGUCAGCUGAUCCAGGGACUAAGUAAUGAGGCUAAAAUCAUUCUACUUCUAGGAUGCCUGUGACUUCCAUUUGCCAUGAGAGUGUUAAUUCCUGUGGCAGUACGCCUGCCAUGAGCUCCCCCAGAGCCAUGCUCUUCACCAGCACAGCAUUCUCAGGCAUUACUACAGAUGCUCAUUAAUCAUCUCUACUCUAGGAGGUACGCCCUGUGAGCUCAGACUCUUGGUGUUCCUGGCUCAGUGCUAGGACAUGGUGAAUGCAGAAAAUAUUGAAGAGCUCUGAUUAGGUUGUGAUUUUAAGUAAUUAAAAUUCUUGGGCUGGCCCUGUGGCAUAGUGGUUAAGUUCAGCAUGCUCCACUUCAGCAGCCUGGGUUCAGUUCCAGGGUGUGGACUCAAACCACUCAUUGGUGGCCGUGCUGUGGUGGCGACCCACAU